RNAcentral lists this long non-coding RNA (2796 nucleotides) under Nicotiana tabacum (common tobacco). RNAcentral describes it as "long non-coding RNA (NTAB_LNC018406)". The record is from RNAcentral. Lineage: Eukaryota; Viridiplantae; Streptophyta; Magnoliopsida; Solanales; Solanaceae.
UGUUCUGGUUGAAACAAUUUAAGUCUCCCAUUGUAGCACAUUUAAUAAAUUAUAUAUGCAAGGAAGCUGAAUGGAAAUCAUUGACAUGCCUUUCUUGUUCUGAUUUUUUCUUCUUCUGGAUAAGUUCAUCGUUCCGAUUUAUAUGGGAAAUAUGGAAUGGCAAUAGAAAAAGAGAAUGAGGAUUUUUGAAGUGGGAAAAACAAUUAUAGCAACUAUUGAGCCUCCUGUCUUUAUUUUAAGAAAACAAAAAUAACAAAAAUGGGGUAAAAAUUUAUCUUCAGUCAACGUGUAAACCCUAGAACUAGGUUAUACGUGCAGGAAGGUGUUAGUAAAUAUACUUUUCCCUCAUUUGUUGUUUAAGGGUUUCCAAUGGAUUUUAUCAUGUCCUGAGCCACUCUACAGAUUGCUUUAAGGUUUUGUGGAUGCUCAGAUCUCUACUCUUAUUUCAAUUAGGAUUAAGGAUAUGUUUUUAUGUUUGAGCUUGGUAUAGUAGGAUUUAAAUUGUAAUUGAAAUUAUGGAAAGUUUGAGGACUUUAAUGGGCAAUUGUCAUGUCAGGGUUACAAUAAUCUAAAAUGUACUAAUAUAGUAGUUUAAAAUUUUCAAAGGGAAAGCUCGGCUAUAAACAACUGAACGAAUUAGGCUAUUAAAUCAGUACAAAGGACUUCUCAGAAAAAACAAAAAUUAGUACAGAGGGACUAAUCACUUUUGACAAGAAUUAGUUUGUCUUGAUCAGUCAAUACAAAGGGACUAAUCACUCUUAACAAUGCCAAAAAGUACAUAGUGUCAGUUACAUGAAACAGGUUUAUGCUUUUAUAAUCUACAAAACCUGAUUCAUAUUAAUUUACUUUCAUUAUUGCAUGCUUUUAGCUUUUGACGAACUGUUAGGGCCAAGUUAAGAUUUACUGUCUUUACUGUAGUUUUAGCGACUAGAUUGUGACCUAGAUCUUGCUAUGUGAUAAGGUAUUCAGGUCGUAGAUCGAUUAUUAAAAUAAUAAUAAUAAAUUCAAUUAAUAGUUGCAGACAUGGUUUAAUUUCUCUUGUGCUGGACCUUCUCUUUUGUGGGGUGCAGUCAGAUAUUAGAUAUGACUGAUGUUGCCAUUUUUCACAAUGAUAUUAAUUCAAUUAGUGGUUUGCAUGUAUAGUACCAAAAAACAUCAGUUUAAUAUUACUUGUGUGCUGGACCUUCCCUUUGAGCGGCUUGUUGCCUUAUAAUGUGGUCAUUUUAUGUUAAAAGGACCUCUAUUAGUUUAUUAUGCUUUAAUAUUUCACUCUGAAUUUUGCAGAACCGCCACACCUUUGAAAAGCCAGUCAAGAUAUACAAUUGAAAAGGGUCUGUGAUACUCCAGCGGGGGGCUUUGGUUGUACAGCGUACACCCCUCAAAAGCUAGAAGGGAUUUGUAAAAGAGUUGUGAGCUAUGGCAGGAUGAUAAGUAGAAUGAAGAGAAGAGAUUAGCAUGAAUAUUAUUUUCCUCCUGGUAAUUUGGUCAGACUGCAGGCUAUUGUUCUUCCUUUUAGUUUGGUUUGGGUAAGGGAGGUUUGUAUUUUGCUCUUUAGUUUAGUUAGGAUGUGCGCUGCAGUUUCUGCCCUCACCUUCAGCUAUUACUCUGCUGAGGGUUGGGUCUUUUUGACAUUAUCUUCUGCAUAUAAGAUUUUGGUUGAAGGGAUGUAUAGUUGAUAUAGUUGGGUGCAUUCUGGACUUGCAUUAUCUGCAUUUUAUUUUACAGAAUUUUCCCAUUCCUCAGUUUGGUUGUAUGUAUGUAAUGUCAUACUUGUGAGGGAUGGGUUUGUAAAAUCUCCCUAUAGUAUUGAUAUAUGUUUCUUUGCUUCAUAUCUCUGUCUUUGUUUUUGCUGUUGGUUUAGUUUGGCCGAAACUGAGAAAACCGCGCUCUCAAGUAUGUGAAUUAUUCAUUUGUCGGCUAUAUUUUUGUUUCUUUUGUUAAUGAAGGCCCGCUGGACUGGGAGAAGUGUUAAUUCUCUGCAUUUAUUUUAUCGAGUUAUUUAUGUGGAAACAAUUAUUGCUUAAAACUGAUGAUGCGUUUUUCCCCCUCAUCUUUCUUGAUGACAGACAAUGAUGAUUUAUUAGCCCAUCACUGGAUUGAGAUGUUUCACAGUAAAAUCUUUUAACAAUUUAAUUGUGAUAGCAAGUCAAUUUUUCAGAAUCAACUAAUGACAUCUACGGUUAGAGAGAGAGAGAGUUCAAGAUAACACUAGUUCUUUCUCUUGUUGAUUAAGCUUAGAUAUUCAAUUCUCUGAAACAUCUUCAAUAGUUUUCUCCAACACACCUAAAUUGGUAAUUUUAUUUAGUCCGUAAUCUACUAAUUAAGGUUAAAUAAUUGGCAACAAGUUUACUUGUAGAAUUUUAAUUAUUCAGAUCUCAGAUAAGUGGAUUUGUUUUUAAAAUCUAAAUCUUAAUCAUUAAGUGUUUUUAUAUCACAACCACUUGAUGACUGAAUAGGUCUGUAUAAUUAAAGUUUAUAAAUAGACUUAAUUUCAUUAAAAUACUAGCAUCCCCAUUUAUUACUAACUGCUGCCACCACCUACUAUUAUCAACUACUACCACCACCAUACUCAAUCAUAACCGCCACCACUACCACCACCCCACCCCCAUCACCCCCAACCACAAUUACACACUCACCCACCUCAACUACCACAACCAACCAUCCAUCACCAUCAACAAUCAUAGCCGGCACCGCCCACCAUUAUUAACUAUCACCACCCACCAUCCUUAACCAUAAUUGCCAUGGAUACCAAUCACCACAAGCUACUAUCCAUAACUACCACCAUCAACCAAAAUC